RNAcentral lists this ribosomal RNA (462 nucleotides) under uncultured bacterium. Its description in RNAcentral is "partial 16S ribosomal RNA". It matches the Rfam family "Bacterial small subunit ribosomal RNA", at positions 29 to 507 of the family's 1533-position model. The record is from RNAcentral.
AACAAACGCUGGCGGCGUGCCUAAUACAUGCAAGUCGAACGGGGAAAGCUUUCGGGUGAGUACUAGUGGCGCACGGGUGAGGAACGCGUGGAUAAUCUGCCUUAGAGUGGGGGAUAACUAGUCGAAAGAUUAGCUAAUACCGCAUAAGACCACGAGAGCUGCGGCUUUUGAGGUCAAAGGUUUUUCGCUCUAAGAUGAGUCCGCGUAAGAUUAGCUAGUUGGUGAGGUAACGGCUCACCAAGGCGACGAUCUUUAACUGGUCUGAGAGGAUGAUCAGUCACACUGGAACUGAGACACGGUACAGACUCCUACGGGAGGCAGCAGUAGGGAAUAUUGCACAAUGGAGGAAACUCUGAUGCAGCGACGCCGCGUGAGUGAUGAAGGCCUUCGGGUCGUAAAGCUCUGUCGCAGGGGAAUAACACAAUGAAGGUACCCUGUAAGAAAGAAUCGGCUAACUUCGUG